RNAcentral lists this ribosomal RNA (373 nucleotides) under uncultured organism. RNAcentral describes it as "partial 16S ribosomal RNA". It matches the Rfam family "Bacterial small subunit ribosomal RNA", at positions 527 to 896 of the family's 1533-position model. The record is from RNAcentral.
GUAGGUGGCAAGCGUUGUCCGGAAUUAUUGGGCGUAAAGCGCGCGCAGGCGGUUCUUUAAGUCUGAUGUGAAAGCCCACGGCUUAACCGUGGAGGGUCAUUGGAAACUGGAGAACUUGAGUACAGAAGAGGAAAGCGGAAUUCCACGUGUAGCGGUGAAAUGCGUAGAGAUGUGGAGGAACACCAGUGGCGAAGGCGGCUUUCUGGUCUGUAACUGACGCUGAGGCGCGAAAGCGUGGGGAGCAAACAGGGAUUAGAUACCCUGGUAGUCCACGCCGUAAACGAUGAGUGCUAAGUGUUAGGGGGGUUUCCCGCCCCUUAGUGCUGCAGCUAACGCAUUAAGCACUCCGCCUGGGGAUACGGCCGCAAGGCUG